RNAcentral lists this ribosomal RNA (505 nucleotides) under uncultured bacterium. RNAcentral's name for it is "partial 16S ribosomal RNA". It matches the Rfam family "Bacterial small subunit ribosomal RNA", at positions 28 to 507 of the family's 1533-position model. The record is from RNAcentral.
GACGAACGCUGGCGGCGUGCCUAAUACAUGCAAGUAGAACGCACAGUUUAUACCGUAGCUUGCUACACCAUAAACUGUGAGUUGCGAACGGGUGAGUAACGCGUAGGUAACCUGCCUGGUAGCGGGGGAUAACUAUUGGAAACGAUAGCUAAUACCGCAUAAUAUUGAUUAUUGCAUGAUAAUUGAUUGAAAGAUGCUAUUGCAUCACUACCAGAUGGACCUGCAUUGUAUUAGCUAGUAGGUGAGGUAACGGCUCACCUAGGCGACGAUACAUAGCCGACCUGAGAGGGUGAUCGGCCACACUGGGACUGAGACACGGCCCAGACUCCUACGGGAGGCAGCAGUAGGGAAUCUUCGGCAAUGGACGAAAGUCUGACCGAGCAACGCCGCGUGAGUGAAGAAGGUUUUCGGAUCGUAAAGCUCUGUUGUAAGAGAAGAACGGGUGUGAGAGUGGAAAGUUCACACUGUGACGGUAUCUUACCAGAAAGGGACGGCUAACUACGUG